This 253-nucleotide ribosomal RNA is filed under the name uncultured bacterium. RNAcentral describes it as "partial 16S ribosomal RNA". It matches the Rfam family "Bacterial small subunit ribosomal RNA", at positions 524 to 776 of the family's 1533-position model. The record is from RNAcentral.
UACGGAGGGGGCUAGCGUUGUUCGGAAUUACUGGGCGUAAAACGCACGUAGGCGGACUGUUAAGUCGGGGGUGAAAUCCUGGGGCUCAACCUCAGAAUUGCCUCCGAUACUGGCAGUCUCGAGUGCGGGAGAGGUGAGUGGAAUUCCCAGUGUAGAGGUGAAAUUCGUAGAUAUUGGGAAGAACACCAGUGGCGAAGGCGGCUCACUGGCCCGUAACUGACGCUGAGGUGCGAAAGCGUGGGGAGCAAACAGG